This 426-nucleotide ribosomal RNA is filed under the name uncultured bacterium. RNAcentral describes it as "bacterial SSU rRNA". It matches the Rfam family "Bacterial small subunit ribosomal RNA", at positions 38 to 507 of the family's 1533-position model. The record is from RNAcentral.
GGCGGUGUGCUUCACACAUGCAAGUCGAACGAGGUAGCAAUACCUAGUGGCGGACGGGUGAGUAACGCGUGGGAAUCUGCCUUUAGAUGGGGGAUAACGGGUCGAAAGACUCGCUAAUACCGCAUAUGACGAAAGUUGAAAGGAGUAAUCCGUCUAAAGAUGAGCCCGCGUCCGAUUAGCUAGUUGGUAGAGUAAAAGCCUACCAAGGCGACGAUCGGUAGCUGGUCUGAGAGGAUGAUCAGCCACAAUGGGACUGAGACACGGCCCAUACUCCUACGGGAGGCAGCAGUGGGGAAUUUUACGCAAUGGGCGAAAGCCUGACGUAGCGACACCGCGUGAGCGAAGAAGCCCCUUGGGGUGUAAAGCUCUGUCAGCUGGAACGAAAAAAUGACGGUACCAGCAGAGGAAGCAUCGGCUAACUACGUG